GGGGGUGUGGCGCAAUGGUAGCGCGUCAGAUUCCAGUUUAUGGAAUGUCCUGAAGGCUAGGCGUUCAAAUCGCCUCAUCCUCA
Saccharata proteae CBS 121410 is the source of this 83-nucleotide non-coding RNA. The record is from the annotation of a GenBank genome assembly. Lineage: Eukaryota; Fungi; Ascomycota; Dothideomycetes; Botryosphaeriales; Saccharataceae.